RNAcentral lists this unclassified non-coding RNA (230 nucleotides) under Hevea brasiliensis (rubber tree). The record is from RNAcentral. Lineage: Eukaryota; Viridiplantae; Streptophyta; Magnoliopsida; Malpighiales; Euphorbiaceae.
GCAGAAUACAAGUUCAGCGUGCCAUUUGCAGGAAUUGCGUAUUUCUAUUUGUUUCUACUUGUUCUCUCAAAAGGUUAAAAAUUAUUUAUCCAUAAAAUGUGUACUCAUUAACUUUUAGCAGAGUGAUCUUCCUUUGUACAUGGUUGAAUCAUUUGAUCGUCAAGGUUUUCAAAAAUAAAUUCAUUGUGCACGAAAUCAAACCUGUCUUGAGCUCUUAGCAUCAAAAUUGC